Molecule: long non-coding RNA, 2246 nt
Filed under: Malus domestica (apple)
Lineage: Eukaryota; Viridiplantae; Streptophyta; Magnoliopsida; Rosales; Rosaceae
Description: long non-coding RNA (MDOM_LNC018668)
Source: RNAcentral
UUGUUGGGUACCAUGAAUUGAUUUUGCUUCACACUAUCUUGAUGAAGAUAGUGUGAAGCUUUUGAGAUUUUAUAGUUGUCCUCCAUUGAUGAAGCUUUGUUGAAUUUCCUUUUUUUUUUUUGGGAAACUAAAAAUUUGAAAAUGUGGGAGAGAGAACAUAUACAAAUUUUGCUUCCACACUUUUGAGCAAGAGAUUGUGAUGCAAACCACACUUUAUAGUAAUCGAAAGUUUGGAUAAACCAUAUAAAUUGAAUUUGCUUCGAAGGUUUGAGAAUUGUAGUUGCCCUCCAUUGAUGAAGCUUUUGUUGACACCAUAAAUUGGUUUUGCUUCACACUAUCUUGAUCAAGAGUGUGUGAAGCUUUUGAGAAUUGUGGUUAAACUACUUUGAUGAAGCUUUUGUUGGCACCAUAAAUUGGUCUUGCUUCACACUGUCUUGAUCAAGAGUGUGUGAAGCUUUUGAGAAUUGUGGUUGCCCUACAUUGAUGAAGCUCUUGUUGGCACCAUAAAUUGGUUUUGCUUCACACUGUCUUGAUCAAGAGUGUGAAGCUUUUGAGAAUUGUGGUUGCCCUCCAUUGAAGAAGCUCUUGUUGGCGCCAUAAAUUGAUUUUGCUUCACACUAUCUUGAUCAAGAGUGUGUGAAGCUUUUGAGAAUUAUGGUUGAACUCCUUUGAUGAAGCUCUUGUUGGCACCAUAAAAUUGGUUUUGCUUCACACUGUCUUGAUCAAGAAUGUGUGAAGCUUUUGAGAAUUGUGGUUGCCCUCCAUUGAUGAAGCUCUUGUUGGCACCAUAAAUUGGUUUUGCUUCACACUGUCUUGAUCAAGAGUGUGUGAAGCUUUUGAGAAUUGUGGUUGAACUCCUUUGAUGAAGCUCUUGUUGGCACCAUAAAUUGGUUUUGCUUCACAUUGUCUUAAUCAAGAGUGUGUGAAGCUUUUGAGAAUUGUGGUUUAACUCCUUUGAUGAAGCUCUUGGUAGCACUAUAAAUUGGUUUUGCUUCACACUGUCUUGAUCAAGAGUGUGUGAAGCAUUCUACGAGUUGCAGUGUUUGCAUUGUUACAGAGGGGAAAUGUUUAAAGCAAAUGCAAGAGGGCUGAAUAGCUUGAUCUUCGUAUACCAUGCACUGAAGUUGUUGUUGGCUUGCAAUAAGACUUUGUUGGUGACUAUAACUCUUGUUGGGCAUAAGUGCUCCCCUAGUUGAGUUGUCAAGCUUGAGGGUUUUUUAUUAUUUGUGAAUGCUAGGAGUUCAUAUGUACAAGUUGUACUACUCAUCUUCUGGUAGGUGGAAUGAAUGGUGAGUUCCUUCAUCACCUUUCAUCACUUGGUUGGUGGUACGAAGGUGAGUUCCUUCAUCACGUUUCAUCACAUUUCAUCACUUGGUUGGUGGCACAAGGAUGGGUUCCUUCUUCCCCUGGUUGGUGCCAUGAAUGGCAAGUUUCCAAAUGAUAGUAGAGUACGGGUUGUACAUUUCAUCACCUGGUUGGUGGCAUGAAGGAGAGUACGAGUUGUACAUUUCAUCACCUGGUUGGUGGCAUGAAGAUGAGUUCCUUCUUCACCUGGUUGGUGGCAUGAGUGGCAAGUUGCCAAAUGAUAUUAGAGUACGGGUUGUACAUUUCAUCACCUGGUUGGUGGCAUGAAGGAGAGUAUGGGUUGUACAUUUCAUCACCUGGUUGGUGGCAUGAACGGUAAGUUGCCAAUUGAUAUUAGAGUACGGGUUAUACAUUUCAUCACCUGGUUGGUGGCAUGAAGGAGAGUACGGGUUGUACAUUUCAUCACUUGGUUGGUGGUAGGAAGAUGAGUUUCUUCUUCACCUGGUUGGUGGCAUGAGUGGCAAGUUGCCAAAUGAUAUUAGAGUGCGAGUUGUACAUUUCAUCACCUAGUUGGUGGCAUGAAGGAGAGUACGGGUUGUACAUUUCAUCACCUGGUUGGUGGCAUGAAGAUGAGUUCCUUCUUCACCUGGUUGGUGGCAUGAGUGGUAAGUUGGCAAAUGAUAUUAGAGUACGGGUUGUACAUUUCAUCACCUGGUUGGUGGCAUGAAGAAGAGUACGGGUUGUACAUUUCAUCACCUGGUUGGUGGCAUGAAGAUGAGUUCAUUCUUGACCUGGUUGGUGGCAUGAGUGGCAAGUUGCCAAAUGAUAUUAGAGUAUGUUGGAAAUAUGCCCUGAAAGUCAAUCUUUGCAAGAAACCUUUCAGGACAAAUGAAUCGAUGUAUAGAUGACUCUUAUACAUCAAAUGGCAAAGAUACUAAUUA